GGUCGCCCACGCGACGCCGGCUCUUGCCAUUGCCGCACCGAAACUCGUCAUCGUGCUCUCCGCGGCCAGGCUCGACGCUAAGCCGACGGUCCUCAUCGCUGAGAAGCUCGGCGAGGCCAAGUUGGACCUUCUGAAGGAAUCGACGACCGCCAGUAGAAUCGGGUACGUCUUCGAUUUGCUGUCUCUCUCGUCGGCAACUGAUCAUCACGGAAAUCGCAACUUGAUUGUAUCUCCGGUCCCAGGCUACAACCGGAGUCGUUGCAAUCGGAGUCAAAUCAGUGUGAAGGCAAACAGUCAACCGGAAUUGUUGCAAAACGACUAGAAUUGUGGGCAAAAUCGUCAACCGGAGUCGAGAUUAUUGGGGGGCAAUAAUCUUCCUAUUGGGGGGCAAUAAUGUGUCUUAAUUGUUAUAAAGUCUCUAUAAUUGUGUUCAGUGAUA
This 439-nucleotide long non-coding RNA is filed under the name Rosa chinensis. Its description in RNAcentral is "sRNA RchiOBHm_Chr6g0284321". The record is from RNAcentral. Lineage: Eukaryota; Viridiplantae; Streptophyta; Magnoliopsida; Rosales; Rosaceae.